RNAcentral lists this ribosomal RNA (1327 nucleotides) under metagenome. RNAcentral describes it as "bacterial LSU rRNA". It matches the Rfam family "Bacterial large subunit ribosomal RNA", at positions 1561 to 2925 of the family's 2925-position model. The record is from RNAcentral.
AGUGGAUGGGGAGCAACCUAGUUGUGCGUGUGUAAAGGUAGUGCCAAGAAAAGCGAUGAUCAUGUUGAAAAUCAAUUCCCGGUACCCGAAACCGACACAGGUGGGCAAGUAGAGAAUACUAAGGGGCGCGAGGUAACUCUCUCCAAGGAACUCGGCAAAAUGACCCCGUAACUUAGGGAGAAGGGGUGCCACCGAGAGGUGGUCGCAGUGAAGAGGCCCAGGCGACUGUUUAGCAAAAACAUAGGUCUCUGCAAACUCGAAAGAGGAGGUAUAGGGGCUGACGCCUGCCCAGUGCCGGAAGGUUAAAGAAGUUGGUCAGUUUUAGGAUGAAGCUAGCGACUGAAGCCCCGGUGAACGGCGGCCGUAACUAUAACGGUCCUAAGGUAGCGAAAUUCCUUGUCGGGUAAGUUCCGACCCGCACGAAAGGCGUAACGAUCUGGGCGCUGUCUCGGAGAGAGGCUCGGCGAAAUAGGAUUGUCUGUGAAGAUACGGACUACCUGCAUUUGGACAGAAAGACCCUAUGAAGCUUUACUAUAGCUUGGAAUUGUGUUCGGGCUUCCUGUGCGCAGGAUAGGUGGGAGGCGUAGAAGGUAUUCUUGUGGGGAUACUGGAGCCAACGGUGAGAUACCACUCUCAGGAGGCUAGAAUUCUAACUUAAUUAAGGACAGUUUCAGGUGGGUAGUUUGACUGGGGCGGUCGCCUCCAAAAAGGUAACGGAGGCGUACAAAGGUUCCCUCAGACUGGUUGGAAAUCAGUCGAAGAGUGCAAAGGCAGAAGGGAGCUUGACUGCGAGAAGUACAGUUCGAGCAGGGUGGAAACACGGUCUUAGUGAUCCGACGGUGCUGUGUGGAAGGGCCGUCGCUCAACGGAUAAAAGUUACUCUAGGAUAACAGGCUGAUCUCCCCCAAGAGUUCACAUCGACGGGGAGGUUUGGCACCUCGAUGUCGGCUCAUCGCAACCUGGGGCGGAAGUACGUCCCAAGGGUUGGGCUGUUCGCCCAUUAAAGCGGUACGUGAGCUGGGUUCAGAACGUCGUGAGACAGUUCGGUCCAUAUCCGAUGUAGGCGUGAGAAUAUUGAGAGGAGCCUUCCUUAGUACGAGAGGACCGGGAAGGACGCACCGCUGGUGUACCUGUUAUGAUGCCAAUUGUAAACGCAGGGUAGCCAAGUGCGGAGAGGAUAACCGCUGAAAGCAUCUAAGUGGGAAGCCCACCUCAAGAUGAGUAUUCUGGUGUAAGGUCACGGGAAGACGACCCGUAAAUAGGCACGAGGUGGAAGUGCAGAGAUGUAUGAAGCCGAAGUGUACUAAUAGACCGUCGGCUUGACCAG